GACGAACGCUGGCGGCGUGUUUAACACAUGCAAGUCGAACGGAAAGGCCCCCUUGUGGGGUACUCGAGUGGCGAACGGGUGAGUAACACGUGAGUAACCUACCCUUGACUUUGGGAUAACUUCAGGAAACUGGGGCUAAUACCGGAUAGGAGCUCCUGCUGCAUGGUGGGGGUUGGAAAGUUUCGGCGGUUGGGGAUGGACUCGCGGCUUAUCAGCUUGUUGGUGGGGUAGUGGCUCACCAAGGCUUUGACGGGUAGCCGGCCUGAGAGGGUGACCGGCCACAUUGGGACUGAGAUACGGCCCAGACUCCUACGGGAGGCAGCAGUGGGGAAUAUUGCACAAUGGGCGGAAGCCUGAUGCAGCAACGCCGCGUGCGGGAUGACGGCCUUCGGGUUGUAAACCGCUUUCGCCUGUGACGAAGCGUGAGUGACGGUAAUGGGUAAAGAAGCACCGGCUAACUACGUG
RNAcentral lists this ribosomal RNA (465 nucleotides) under uncultured bacterium. RNAcentral describes it as "partial 16S ribosomal RNA". It matches the Rfam family "Bacterial small subunit ribosomal RNA", at positions 28 to 507 of the family's 1533-position model. The record is from RNAcentral.